Molecule: long non-coding RNA, 8358 nt
Filed under: Homo sapiens (human)
Lineage: Eukaryota; Metazoa; Chordata; Mammalia; Primates; Hominidae
Source: RNAcentral
CCAGAGUGGCAGCCGCAGUGUGGGAGCCCAGCUCUGCUGCCAUAAAUUACCCAGGGGCAGGAAGGAGCAGUGAGAGUCAGCGGUUUCAGCUACCUAGUAGUUCAUUUUUGUUCUUGUUUUUCAGUUAGCAAUCUGUAAAAUUUAUUGCAAAAUUAAGCUCCCUGCUCCAGAGUCAAUAAUAUUCCUGGUGCCAGGUGGUGUAAUAAUUCACCGAAAGGGCAGAAGUUGGAGGGAAUAAGACUGAUUUAGGAAGUAGACUUCCAAGCCCUAUUGCUGCUGCCUAUUCCCUGCUGCUAAAGGUCAGAAAGAAGGUAAUUUGGAGCAGAUGGAAAAGUGCAACUCAGAACACUGGGCUGAUUAGAAAGGAAGUAGGGACCCUGCACAGGGCUACUGAUCACCAGGAUUCAUUUCUGGCCUUCAGUGACUCCUGAGGAAGGGAAACGAAGCCAGUCAACGGAACCCACCUUAUACCACACUCAAACUCCCAGUGGCAUUAAAGAAAAUGAAAGCAAAAAUAAAAUAAAGCCCAUCCAAGGGACAGCAACUUCAAAGAUUGAAGGAACAUCAGCCCAUAUAGAUGAGAAAGAACCAGCACAAGAACUUGGCAACUCAAAAAGCCAGAGUGUAUUCUCACCUCCAAAUGGCCAUACUAUUUUCCCAGCAAUGGUUCUUAACCAGGUUGAAAUGACUGAAAUGACAGAAAUAGAAUUCAGAAUAUGGAUAGGAACAAAGAUCAUCAACAUUCAGGAGAAAUUUCAGACUCAAUCCAAGGAAUAUAAAGAAAACAAUGAAAUGAUACAGGAGAUGAAAGACGAAAUGACCAUUUUAACAAAGAAUCAAAUUGAUCUUAUGGAGCUGAAAAACUCACUUCAAGAAUUUCAUAAUACAAUCAAAAAUAUUAACAGCAGAAUUGACCAAGGUGAGGAAAAAAAUCUCAGGGCUUGAAGACCAGUUCUCCAAAAUAACUGUCACGCAAAAAUAAGGACAAAUAAUAAUAAAUAAGAAUAAACAAAGCCUCUGAGAAAUAGAGGAUUAUGUAAAGAGACCAGGUCUACAAUUCACUGGUGUCCCUGAAAAAGAAGGCAAGAAAGUACACAACUUGGGAAACAUAUUUGAGGAUAUUGUCCAUGAACGUUUCCCCAACCUCAUUAGAGGCGCCAACAUUCAAAUUCGGGAAAUGCAGAGACCCCCUGUGAUAUACUAUAUAAGAUCUCAAAGACACAUAGUGAUCAGAUUUGCCAAGGUUGAAAUGAAAAAAAAAGAAAAAAAAGGGUUAAAGGCAGCUAGAAAGAAAGCGGACAGGUCACAUACAAAUGGAAGCCCAUUAGGCUAACAGCAGAACCUUUAGCCAGAAAAGAUAGGGGGCCUAUAUUCAGCAGUCUUAAAGAAAAGAAAUUCCAACCAAAAGUUUCAUAUCCAGCCAAACUAACUCACAAGUGAAGGAGAAAUAAGAUCCCUUUCAGAAAAGUAAAUGUUAAAGAAAUCCAUGACCACCAGACCUGCCUUCUAAGAGGUCCUUAAGGGAGUGCUAAACAUAGAAGAGGAAGACCAUUACCAGCCACCACAGAAACACACUUAAGUACGUAGACCAUCCACGCUAUAAAGCAACCGUACAAUCAAGUCUUCAUAAUAACUAGCUAACAACACAGUGAAAGGAUCAAACCUGAACAUAUCAAUAUUAAUCUUGAAAGUAAACUGACUAAAUGCCCCUAUUAAAAGGCACAGACUGGCAAGUUGGAUAAAGAAGCAGGACUCCACUGUAUGUUGUCUUCAAGUGACCCAUCAUACAUACAAUGACAUUCACAGGCUCGAAGUAAAGGGAUGGAAAAAAAAUCUAAGCAAAUGGAAAACAGAAAAAAGCAGGAGUUGCUAUUCUAACUUCAGACAAAACAGACUUUAAACCAGCAAUGAUUUAAAAAGACAAAGAAGCACAUGACAUAAUGGUAAAGGGUUCAAUUCAACAAGACCUAACUAUCUUAAAUACCUAUUACCCAACACAGGAGUGCCCAGAUUCAUAAAACAAGUUGUUAGAGACCUAUAAAGAGACUUGGAUAAUCACACAAAAAUAGUGGGGUACUUCAGCAUCUCACUGACAGUAUUAGACAGAUUACUGAGGCAGAAAAUUAACAGACAUUUAGGACCCGAAUUUGACAUUUAACCAAAUGGACCUAACAGACAUCCACAGAACUCUCUACCCUCAAAUUCCAGAAUAUUCGUUCUUCUCAUCUGUACAUGGCACAUACUCUAAAAUUGACCACACAAUUGUUCAUAAAAUAAUCCUCAGCAAAUUUUUAAAAAAUGAAAAUAUAUUAACCAUGUUCUCAGACAACAGCACAAUAAAAACUGAAAUCAAUACUAACAAAUAGCUCAAAACAAUAUAAUUACAUAGAAAUUAACCAGCUCCUGAAUGACUUGUGUGUAAACAAUAAAAUUAAGGUAGAAACCAAACUAAUGCAGGAAGAGAAAAUUCUUAGAAACUAAUGAGAACAAAGAUACAACAUAACAGAAUCUGUGGGAUGCUAAAGCAGUGUCAAGAGGGAAGUUUAUAGUGCUAAACACUUACAUCAAAAAAUUAGAAAGAUCUCAAAUUAACAACCUAACAUCACAUCUAGAGAAACUGGAGAAACAAGAGAAAACCAACCCCAAAGCUUGUGGAAAGCAGUUUUGAGGCUUUUCUCAAAAGAACUUAUAACAAUUGGCUGGGUGCGGUGGCUCACGCCUGUAAUUCCAGCACUUUGGGAGGCCAAGGUGGGCAGAUCACCUGAGAUCAGGAGUUCGAGACCAGCCUGACCAAUAUGGAGAAACACCGUCUCUACUAAAAAUACAAAAUUAGCUGGUCACUGUGGUGCAUGCCUGUAAUCCCAGCUACUAGGGAAGCUGAGGCAGGAGAAUCACUUGAACCCAGGAGGCGGAGGUUUUGGUGAGCUGAGAUUACGCCAUUGCGCUACAGCCUGGGCAACAACAGUGAAACUCUGUCUCAAAAUAAAGAAACAAAAACAAAAGCAAAAACAAAAUUACUAUUUGACCCAUCAAUUUCAUUACUGGGUGUGUAUUCAAAAGAAAAUAAAUUGCUUUACCGAUAAGACACACGCACUUGUGUGUUCAUUGCAGCACUAUUCAGAAGAGCAAAGAGCAAAGACAUGGAAUCAACCAAGGUGCCCAUUAACAGUGGAUUGGGUAAAGAAAAUGUGUACAUACACACCAUGAAAUACUACACAGCCAUAAAAAAACAACAAGAUCUUGACCUUUUCAGGAAAAUCGAUGCAGUGGGAGGCCAUUAUCCUAAGCAACCUAACACAGGAAGAGAAAACCAAAUACUGCAUAUUCUCACUUAUAAGUGGGAGCUAAACACUGAGUAUCCUUGGACACAAAUACGGGAACAACAGACACUGGGGCGUACUUGAGGGUGGAGGUUGGGAAGAGGGUGAGGGUCAAAAAACCGCCACCACUAUGCUUAUUCCCUGGGUAAUGAAAUAAUCUGCCCAGCAAACCCCUGUGACACGCAGUUUACCUAUAUAGGAGAUCUGCACAUGUACAUUGAACCUAAAAUAAAAGUUAAAAACAAAAAAAGCCAGUCACAAAAGUUAAAGAAACAAAAAGUUCAGGUUAAAGAUAAAAUUUUGAGAAAAAAACUGGGCCUUUAAACAUUUAGGGAUGGUGGUGGGCAAGGCUAUCUUGCUAGGAGAAGGAAAGUAAAAAGUACAGCUUGAACUAUAAGAGCAAAAAGGGUAUGGGCAUUAACAGAAAAUGAAUGCUUUUAUUUCCAAAUGGUAGAAUAGAUAAAGCAUUUUUUGACAUCUUCUCCACAGGUUGUCAAAAAGUAAAAAAAAAAAAAAAAAAAAAAUAGUGGGAAAUUUUGUGUAUUAGUUCAUUAUUGCAUUGCUUUAAUAAAAUACCUGAGACUGGGUAACUUAUUAAGCAAAGACAUUUAACUGUCUCACAGUUCUGCAGGCUUUACAGGGAGCAUGGUGCUGGCAUCUGCUCAGCUUCUGGUGAAGCCUCAGGGAGAUCUCAAUCAUGGCAAAAGGCAAAGCAGGAGCAAACACAUCACAUGGCAAGAACAGCAGUGGGGGCCGGGUAGGUGCCACACACUUUUCAACCACUAGAUCUCGUGAGAACUCACUAACACAAAGAUAGCACCAAGACAUGAGGGAUCCACCCUUGUGAUCCAAACACUUCCCACUCCUAAUACCUGCAAGAGCCUUGGAAGUUUAUUCUCUAGAGAAAUUGGACUAGAAAAAUCUCAGUGAUUAGGAAUGAGGAGCCCCGAAGAGGAUAAGCUGGAGGUUUUGUGUUGAUUAUAAUACCAUGAAGUAGAAGUCUUUAAAUCAAAAGGUGAGAACUACCUUUCCUGCCUGUAGUCCUGCCUUUAGAUAUACCCCUUCCCAGACAUAACAUUGGAGGUUAAUUUUGUGGAGCACCAAAAUGAUCUACAGAAAGAAUACCAGGAGAUUCAUAGUUUUGAGCUAGCAGCAAAGAUGCUAGUAUCUCUACUUGGUUCUAUGCAAAGAUGCAGCCAUCUUUUCAUCUAAUCACCUGAGAGUCAACCUCCCCUAUGUACAAACCCCACAAACAUAAAUAAAGCUUCCAUUCAACUAUUUGUUGUUUUACUGUUAAGUAAAUGGAUGAACAAGCAACAUCAGCCAUUUGAGGAAAUCCUACUACAGGGAAGAUAUGGAACAUAACAAACAAGAACAAAGAAGUCUGAAAAAGAAGACGUAAUAUAGGGAAGAAAAGACUGCUUUAAAGAAAUUCUUAUUAAUCAUGUUAAAAAGAUAUAUAAAGAUAUUAUAACCAUUGCAUAUUAAAAUGUUGUCAAAAUGGAACAAAGAAUAGAAUGAGAUCUUGUAAAUUAAUAAUAGGAUUAAAAUUUUAAAAAAAGAAGUUUUGGAAAAUAAAUUUGAGGGAAAUGUCCAAAUUAUAGAAAUAAAAAGAAAAUGAGAUGUGUUAUAGCAGUUAUAAGAAUACUAUCAGAUGAUUCUAGGUGACCUAAUACGCAGUUACUAAGUGUUUGAAAAGAUGAGAACAGAAAAAAUAGGGAGGAGGACAUUAUCAACAAAAUAAUGUAAGAAAAUUUGUCAGGUACUAGCCAUGAGUGGUAGCACACACCUCUAAUUCCAGCUACUCAGGAGGCUGAGGUGAGAGGAUCGCCUGAGUCCAGGAGUUCAAGAAGCCAGCCUAGCAACAAUAGCAAGAAUCUUUCUCUCAAAAAUAUAAAAUUAAAUUAAAAAAAAGAAAAUUUGUCAGUGCUAAGGGCAUUGAACUUUUCCACCAAGUAUUCACUACAGUGAAUAAAAAAGUGACUCCACCAAAGCAACUUUAUCAUGAUAAUUUUAUGAAACAAGUGAUAAAGAGAAAAUUGUAAUAACCUCCAGGGGCUGAAGAAAUGAGAACAUAACAAAGAAUAAAGUGUAGGAAUGGUAUCAGAGAGCAACUAGAAUGCACUGGAAUAGGUCUUCAAAACUUUUAGUGAAAAUGAUUCCUCAAACCAUAAUUGUAUACCUAGCAAAACUUUCGUUCCAGUGUUAGGACAGAGUAAAGUCAUUUUUAGACAUACAAUGUCCCAAAAUAAUCCUCCCUCACCCAACCAAGCACUCAAUCUCAGGAAACUCCCAGAAAAUAUAUUUCAACAAAAUAAACAAAUAAGACAGAGGCAUAUUGGGAUCCAAGGAAUCAUAUGUAAGAGAAGCAAAUAGAAUUUACAACAUGAAGAAAAAGGAACUUUCUGCAUGACAGGUGUUUUGGCCUAGAGAGCAAAUAGUCCAGAAUGAAACAGGAUGUUGAAGGCCUCCAGGAAAAAUGCCUCUAAGACAAGAGACACACUGGCAAGUGAUCAGACAGGACUGCCCUGGUUGAAAGGCUGUUUUCCAGGAUGCAUUAUCAGAACAACUGGAGAAUAUGAGAAGCAUUAAACUUAAGCAAGUGUAAAAAUUUUCUCCAGAAUGCAAAAAUAUAUACUGACUUUAGCUCACAGUUUCUCGAAUAGCCUUAGCCAUACUAAGUCUGCACAGUGGCCUAGGAUGCUUUCAGUUGACAUCUCUUCCCUCUUCCUUCAUUCGGGGUCAAGGGUCAGGUUUCCUUCACAGUCUAGUGGCUCUCCGGCCUCACCUGGAUGCUCUUCAUUUUCUUUCACACAAGCACUUUCCCUUAAAAUACUACCCACAUGUGAUUCUAUCUCAGUGUCUCUUCUUCAGAGGGCAUAGCUGACAAACCUAGCAUCUGCUGUAAAUUCAUUAUAGUGGAUAGAACUGUAAUAUUCGGAUAUCACAUUUUGUCUUAAUUAUAAUACAUGUUUUCUGGUGCUUUUCCCAUAAAAACUCACAUAAAAUUCAUCAUAUUUACCCUACAAGGCAGAUACUGUUAUUAUUUUCCUCAUUCUAGAAUAAGAAAACUGAAGCACACACAGGGUAAAUGACUUCCAUAAGGUUGCACACUAGAUUGGAUCCAUGAAACCUGCUUGCCGGUCUGUUCUUAAACAUUCCAUUAGCUGCCUCUUAAACACUAUACUGAGGUCUCCCUCUAAAAUCCACAUAUAUGAGGCUAUAAUGGUUAAAGACUUUCAACAGGCUUUCAAAUAUUUUCAUUCUGAACAUUAUUUUUUCUCAGGAGAGGGUGGAAGUAGUGGUGUUAAUACAAUAACAGUUGCUCUUGGGUAUCUAGAAGAGCUGGUCCUCAUGCAUCAGUAGCUGAUAAUGGGGAUACACUCCAAGGAGCUAUAACUCAGUGUAUCACCAACUAUAGUCACAGUGUAUUGGGUUUAAAGGUAGCUUCCAAACAGAUGUCUACAUCUUAAUCCCUGCGAAUUUUGCCCUACAUGCCAAAGAGUGAAUAUUACCUUAGAUGGCAAAAGAUGUGAUUAAGGAUCUUGAGAAGAGGCAUUUAUCCUGGAUUUUAUGGGUGGGCCCUCAAUGUAAUCAUAUAUGUCCUCACGAGAGAGAGGCAUAUGGAGUUUUGAGGUAGACACAUGGAGGAGAAGGCAAGCUGAAGCCAGAGCAAAGAGAAAUGCAGCCAUAAGACAAGGGAUAACUACAGCCACCAAAAGCUAGAAACAAGGACAGUAUUCUCCCCAGAGCCUCCGGAAGGAGGGUGGCCCUGCUGACACCUUAAUUUUGUACUUCCGUCCUCUAGAACUGUGAGAAAAUCAAUGUCUAUUGUUUUAAGAAACUAAAGUUGUGGUUAUUUGUUACAGUGACCCUAGGAAACUUACACACAUGUUAUGUAUAAUAUUUUCCAUUGAACAUCAAAUAAGGGUUGACUACUCCUCCAUGGGCCAAGUAUAGAGGACGCAGGAAAUAUUUCUCAAGAAGAGUGAUUUUAAAAUUGAGUUUUGAAGGGUUCCCUUAGUUAGAAAAUAAAUAAAAAGGACAUUCAAGAAGGAGAAAUAGCACAAGUGAAGGCAUAGGAAAGUGAAAUGCGAUGGCUUCUGGACAGAAGGUGGUUCAGUGGCUCUGGAUUAGAGACAUGGGAAGAAGUCUUGAGAGCUGGGCCUGGCAAGUGGAAGCAUGUGAAGAAGCCUUGAAUGGCAUGCUAAAGCUUUUGACGUGGUGGUAAUCUGAUAGACAAUGAUGAUUAAUCAAGGCUCUUGGGACAAAAGUAGUGAUAAGAUAUAAUCAUCUGGAGCUCCAUAGAAGUGGGAACUAGGAGAUCAGCUAAGAGAAUUUUGCAAUAGUCUGAUGAGAGGGAGAAGAGGGAAUGCACAGUUGGCCAUGGCUGUAGAAUAAGAUUCAAGGUGACAGACCUGGAUAUAUGUGGGUACUGAGGAGGAAGAAAGUUGAGAAUAACUUGGAAGAGUCUACUUCCAGAUCUGGGUGGAAAGAAAGUGGCAUUGACAAAAGAGAAUGCAAAUGUGGUAGAGGGAACAUUUUUGAAGGAAUGUAAAGACACCCUAUUAUAUGGCAGGAUAGGUGAUGUGGUCAGCUUUGUGUCCCCACCCAAAUCUCUUCUUGAAUUUUAAUCCUCAUAAUCCCCAUAAUCCCUACGUGUCAAGGGAGAGACCAGGUGCAGGUAAAUGAACAUCAUGGGCGGGGGGUGGUUCCCCUAUGCUGUUCUGGUGAUAGUGAGUGAGUUCUCACGAGACCGAAUGGUUUUAUAAAGGGAUCUUCCUCUCUUCACUCAGCAACUCUCCUUCCUGCCACCUUGUGAAGAAGGUGCCUUGCUUCGUCUUCACCUUCUGCCAUGAUUGUAAGUUUCCUGAGUCCUCCCCAGCUAUGUUGAGCUGUGAGUCAAUUAAACCUCUUUCCUUUAUAAAUUACUCAGUCUCCGGCAGUUCUUUAUAGCAGUAUGAAAAUGGACUAAUACAGUGGGUAUUUUAUCAGCCCAGUGACCUUGACCACUGCACCUCUCUCUGCUUCAGCCUUC